This 253-nucleotide ribosomal RNA is filed under the name uncultured bacterium. RNAcentral describes it as "partial 16S ribosomal RNA". It matches the Rfam family "Bacterial small subunit ribosomal RNA", at positions 524 to 776 of the family's 1533-position model. The record is from RNAcentral.
UACGUAGGGUGCAAGCGUUACUCGGAAUUACUGGGCGUAAAGCGUGCGCAGGCGGUUAUGUAAGGCAGGGGUGAAAUCCCCGGGCUUAACCUGGGAACUGCAUUUGUGACUGCAUAGCUAGAGUACGGUAGAGGGGGAUGGAAUUCCGCGUGUAGCAGUGAAAUGCGUAGAUAUGCGGAGGAACACCGAUGGCGAAGGCAAUCCCCUGGACCUGUACUGACGCUCAUGCACGAAAGCGUGGGGAGCAAACAGG